Molecule: ribosomal RNA, 735 nt
Filed under: Triticum aestivum (bread wheat)
Lineage: Eukaryota; Viridiplantae; Streptophyta; Magnoliopsida; Poales; Poaceae
Description: partial small subunit ribosomal RNA
Source: RNAcentral
AUGGCAGCGCCAGCAGCACCGCCGGCCGUCAGCGACGUCGAGGCUCAGGACAGGAAGAGCGCCCCAGAAGGUGCCGGCAAGACGCCAGUGAACCAGAAGGUGCUGUCGGUGUCGGCGAACCUGGCGCAGCUGCUGCCGACGGGGUCGGUGAUGGCGUACCAGAUGCUGGCGCCGUCCUUCAGCAACCAGGGCAAGUGCUACCCCUCCAACUGGUGGAUCACGCUCGGGCUCGUCGUCGUCCUCGCCGCCUCCUGCAUCUUCUUCGCCUUCACCGACUCCGUCGUCCACAAUGGUAAGGUGUACUACGGCCUGGCCAUCUACGGCCGCCUCAACAUCUUCAACCUAUCGAAGAAGGAGGAGGAGAAGAUGUUCACAAGCAUACAGCCGGUGCUCAAGGAACGUGGCCUCAAGAAACGGGACCUCGUUCACGCCUUCCUCACCGCCGUCGUCUUCCUCACCAUGGUCUUCAGCGACGUCGGGCUCCAGAACUGCUUCUUCCCCGACGCCGGCACCGACACGCAGCAGCUGCUUAAGAACCUGCCACUGGGAAUGGCGGUCUUCUCCAGCCUGGUGUUCACCAUCUUCCCCAGCAAAAGAAACUUCAUCGGAUGCAGCGAUCCGAACAGCGACAAGAACGACGACACCGCCAAAACUAAACCGUCUUCGGCUGCACAGCCUGAUCCGGCCACUCAAGCUUCAAGUGGCGCAUGCUCUGCAUGCGGGAGGUGUUCAUAA